GAUCAUGGCCAGGACGAACGCUGGCGGCGUGCCUAAUACAUGCAAGUAGAACGCUGAAGGAGGAGCUUGCUCUUCUGGAUGAGUUGCGAACGGGUGAGUAACGCGUAGGUAACCUGCCUGGUAGCGGGGGAUAACUAUUGGAAACGAUAGCUAAUACCGCAUAACAUUGACUAUUGCAUGAUAGUCAAUUGAAAGGUAGCAAAUGCACCACUACCAGAUGG
RNAcentral lists this ribosomal RNA (221 nucleotides) under uncultured bacterium. RNAcentral's name for it is "partial 16S ribosomal RNA". It matches the Rfam family "Bacterial small subunit ribosomal RNA", at positions 15 to 228 of the family's 1533-position model. The record is from RNAcentral.